RNA transcript from Rosa rugosa (rugosa rose), 1797 nucleotides. It is a transcript of the gene named brefeldin A-inhibited guanine nucleotide-exchange protein 5-like, with no coding region annotated. The record is from RefSeq and is a predicted model, not a curated record. NCBI's taxonomy places the organism in Eukaryota, Viridiplantae, Streptophyta, Magnoliopsida, Rosales, Rosaceae. The transcript has 7 exons.
UCUCUCUCUCUCCAAUGGCGUGCUUCUUCUUCUUCUCUGUUUCUCUGCCCUCGCUUCGCAUCCAUAGCAGGACGACGUUGUUUGGAUUUGAAAUCGAUUUCGAGCUUGGAAAAUGUUGAAAAUGGAGCACGCGGUCGUUCCCCUGAGGAGGUGCUGGAGCACGUGUUCUCGUUCCUGCAGUCGGACGGCGACCGAAACUCGACCUCACUUGUGUGCAAGUCGUGGUAGAUGAUCGAGCGGCGAGCUGAAAAUUCAGUGCUUUGGUUUUUGCAUUAUCGGUAAUCUGUUAGUUACCUUCAGAAUGAUAAUACUAUGCUAGAGAACAAGCAAAAAGAGGUGAAGGGAUACAUAGCUUACUUCAGUCUAUGGAAACUUUCGUGAAUGCUUAUGAGGCUAUUGUAGACAUAAUGUGGGAGCCAUAUAUUUUUGGAAGGAAUAAAGUUCAAACAAAUGCUCAAUGGCCAUGAAUGUGGGAGCCAAUCACAAAGCUGUGCAUCUUGAAGAUAGCAAAAAGAUAACCAGGUUUGGAUAUGAUAUUAUACGUUGAGAUCUCUCUUUUGCAUUCCUAACAAACCCAGUCUUUCACAUUUAUUUGUAAUGCUUCUAACUGAUGCACUAUUUUAAAAGAGGGACUGACCUGGAGAGUAUGACCAUAGUUCAACGUGAUGCUUUACUGGUUUUCCGAACCCUGUGGUUUGUGUUUUUGUACACUGUCUUCUAAUUGUUGAGUCAUUUAAGCAACUUGAAGCCUCCUAUAUGAAUUUCGAAACUUGGUCUGCAGAUGGGCAUAAAGGAAGAUAACAAUGAAGUCGCUUUGAAGACGAGAAUUUUAUCUCUUCAGCUUCUGCAGGUUAUAUUAAAGAUUAUUGUGAUUUUAAGUGCAUGCUUUUAUGGAUAGAUGCUUACAUACAAAGUAGCUGAUACUGUUAAAUAACUUGAAAGUUUUAUUUAAAAGUAAUUUCUUGAACUUAUUAAGUAUGAGCUUCCUCUUUCUAAGACUAUGGAUGGAGAAAGGAAGAUUUGUAUAAUCCAUGAAGAUGACUUCCUAUUCAGUGACUUAUCUAAGGAGCUUUCCUUUUACUUAUUUUCAGUGUUUUUUGAAUAAUAUGAUUUAUUAUUUGGUCUUUCAGGGUUUGUUGGAAGGAGUUGGUCAUCCAUUUACUAGGAACUUCCAGUUUAUUGCUUCAAUGAAAGCAUACCUAUCAUAUGCUUUGUUGCUAGCUUCAGUUUCGUCGUCCCCUAUCAUAUUACAGGUUUACAUAUAUUCUUCAUCGGAUUUAGGUAGAGUAUUCUAUGAGAUUUUUGCUUUUGAUCAUUAGUUUCCUUCCUGCAGUGUGCAACUGGAAUUUUUUUAUAGUGCUUUUGUUGCGGUUUAGAGAAAGUCUCAAGGGUGAAAUAUGCAUCUUCUUUCCUUAAUUUGAUAGUUCUCCGGUCCCUGGAUGGCGUGGAUUUACCCAUGAACCAAAAAAUGAGUGUUCUUAGGAUGGUUGAAAAGGUUUGCAAGGAUCUUCAGAUGCUUGUUGACAUAUUUGUGAACUAUGACUGUGAUCUUGAGGCACCGAACUUGUUUGAGCAGAUGAAUAUCUCAAGGGAUGCAAAAUGCAGAUCCAAUAUGGCUGCUGCGUCCCAGACUACUUCAAUAAAGGGUUCAUCUCUUCAGGUUGCUGGAUGACCUCUUUUUCCUUGACCUUGCCAGUGUCUUGGGAAAAGUGAUGUGGAGAAUCAGAUAGAAUAAAAACACUCAGUCUUUGGAAGGAGAUGCCUCAGCUAAAGAGUAUGUUGAUGUGAAAAGCAGGC